Molecule: ribosomal RNA, 880 nt
Filed under: uncultured bacterium
Lineage: Bacteria
Description: bacterial SSU rRNA
Rfam family: Bacterial small subunit ribosomal RNA
Source: RNAcentral
GUGGAUUAGGCAUGCAAGUCGAACGGUAGUAUAUCCUUCGGGAUAUAUGAGAGUGGCGAACGGGUGAGUAACGCGUAGGUGAUCUACCUUCAAGUGGGGGACAACCCAGGGAAACUUGGGCUAAUACCGCAUGUGGCUGUAAAGCUAAAGCCGGCCUCUGAAUAUGCUGGUGCUUGGAGAUGAGCCUGCGUCUGAUUAGCUAGUUGGUGGGGUAAUGGCCUACCGAGGCGAUGAUAAGUAGGCGGCUUUAACGAGUGGUCGCCCACACUGGGAUUGAGAUACGGCCCAGACUCCUACGGGAGGCAGCAGUCGAGAAUAGUCUACAAUGGUCGAAAGAUUGAUAGUGCGACGCCGCGUGAACGAAGAAGCAUUUCGGUGUGUAAAGUUCUUUUCUAUGGGAGCAGUGCUUUUUAUGUUAACAGCAUGAAGAGAGAGAUAUUACUAUAGGAAUAAGCCACGGCUAACUCCGUGCCAGCAGCCGCGGUAAUACGGGGGUGGCAAGCGUUGUCCGGAAUUACUAGGCGUAAAGGGCAGGUAGGCGGUUAUGUAAGUUAAAUGUUAAAGGCCCAUGCUUACCAUGGGUAAGGCGUUUGAUACUGUAUAACUGGAAGACGGUGGAGGAAGACGGAAUUCCUGGUGUAGCGGUGGAAUGCGCAGAUAUCAGGAGGAACACCGAAGGCGAAGGCAGUCUUCUACGCCGGUUUUGACGCUAAACUGCGAAGGUGCGGGUAUCAAACAGGAUUAGAUACCCUGGUAGUCCGCACAGUAAACGAUAAUCACUAGGUGUCGGUAGGAUAGACCUGUCGGUGCCGUAGCUGACGCGAUAAGUGAUUCGCCUGGGGAGUACGAUCGCAAGGUUGAAACUCAAAUGAAUUGACGG